This 1262-nucleotide ribosomal RNA is filed under the name 'Quercus humboldtii' phytoplasma. Its description in RNAcentral is "bacterial SSU rRNA". It matches the Rfam family "Bacterial small subunit ribosomal RNA", at positions 142 to 1403 of the family's 1533-position model. The record is from RNAcentral. Lineage: Bacteria; Bacillati; Mycoplasmatota; Mollicutes; Acholeplasmatales; Acholeplasmataceae.
AAUUAUUAUCAGGAAACGACUGCUAAGACUGGAUAGGAGACAAGAAGGCAUCUUCUUGUUUUUAAAAGACCUAGCAAUAGGUAUGCUUAGGGAGGAGCUUGCGUCACAUUAGUUAGUUGGUGGGGUAAAGGCCUACCAAGACUAUGAUGUGUAGCCGGGCUGAGAGGUUGAAUGGCCACAUUGGGACUGGGACACGGCCCAAACUCCUACGGGAGGCAGCAGUAGGGAAUUUUCGGCAAUGGAGGAAACUCUGACCGAGCAACGCCGCGUGAACGAUGAAGUAUUUCGGUACGUAAAGUUCUUUUAUUAGGGAAGAAUAAAUGAUGGAAAAAUCAUUCUGACGGUACCUAAUGAAUAAGCCCCGGCUAACUAUGUGCCAGCAGCCGCGGUAAUACAUAGGGGGCAAGCGUUAUCCGGAAUUAUUGGGCGUAAAGGGUGCGUAGGCGGUUAAAUAAGUUUAUGGUCUAAGUGCAAUGCUCAACAUUGUGAUGCUAUAAAAACUGUUUAGCUAGAGUAAGAUAGAGGCAAGUGGAAUUCCAUGUGUAGUGGUAAAAUGCGUAAAUAUAUGGAGGAACACCAGUAGCGAAGGCGGCUUGCUGGGUCUUUACUGACGCUGAGGCACGAAAGCGUGGGGAGCAAACAGGAUUAGAUACCCUGGUAGUCCACGCCGUAAACGAUGAGUACUAAACGUUGGGUAAAACCAGUGUUGAAGUUAACACAUUAAGUACUCCGCCUGAGUAGUACGUACGCAAGUAUGAAACUUAAAGGAAUUGACGGGACUCCGCACAAGCGGUGGAUCAUGUUGUUUAAUUCGAAGGUACCCGAAAAACCUUACCGGGUCUUGACAUGCUUCUGCAAAGCUGUAGAAACACAGUGGAGGUUAUCAGUUGCACAGGUGGUGCAUGGUUGUCGUCAGCUCGUGUCGUGAGAUGUUGGGUUAAGUCCCGCAACGAGCGCAACCCUUAUUGUUAGUUACCAGCACGUAAUGGUGGGGACUUUAGCAAGGCUGCCAGUGAUAAAUUGGAGGAAGGUGGGGACGACGUCAAAUCAUCAUGCCCCUUAUGACCUGGGCUACAAACGUGAUACAAUGGCUGUUACAAAGGGUAGCUGAAGCGCAAGUUUUUGGCGAAUCUCAAAAAAACAGUCUCAGUUCGGAUUGAAGUCUGCAACUCGACUUCAUGAAGUUGGAAUCGCUAGUAAUCGCGAAUCAGCAUGUCGCGGUGAAUACGUUCUCGGGGUUUGUACACACCGCCCGUCAAUCA